Fukomys damarensis (Damara mole-rat) is the source of this 941-nucleotide long non-coding RNA. RefSeq lists it as uncharacterized. The transcript is spliced from 6 exons. NCBI's taxonomy places the organism in Eukaryota, Metazoa, Chordata, Mammalia, Rodentia, Bathyergidae. The record is from RefSeq and is a predicted model, not a curated record.
AGAGAAAGAUGGAGGGAAAAUUUUACAACAAAAUUUACAACAAAAAUCCUACAACAAAAUUCAGCUGAAGACACUGAGGCUUGGAAAGGUGAAGCAACUUUCUUGAGGUCACACAGCAAGGACCCUGAGAUCCAAGAUUCAGACCUAGUCCAAGAGUUUAUGAAUCUUUCAGUUUGUUUUUCUGGAGUUUGAAGCCUACAAGCCAGAGAAGCAGGGCUCAGCCACCCUCCGCCUCCUCCCAGCUUCUCGGCAGGGCCAGUCGAGAUAUCUGCCUUCUACAGCUGCCUUCUGGUGACCACCUCCCUAUGGGGCACCAAGAUACAAUUUGCGGGACUUGCUCCACAGAACCCCACGCCCUGCGUGGACUGCACAGAUAUGCCAAGGAGACUAUUUCCCAGGCUUCUCUCGAACUCCCUGAACUCAGGCGGACUUGCUUUCAAUCCACCAAUCAGAACGCCCCUCCAUCAACCCACGUGCGCACCUGCCUUUGCUAUGUUUAUUAAUUUCACAGAAGAACAGCUUUAUCUCGGAGAAGCCAGGGUGAUCACAUUAUUCAAGUGAGCAAAGCUUGGCACCUGGUACCUACUCAUGCCUGUCAUAGCCAUGGGUAGAUGAGAAUCCACUCCAGAGCAGGCACUUCAAACAGGGCUGAGUGGAUGAACUUUCAAAACACACCACCAACCCGGAGUAAGGACCUAUCUCAGCACAUCAAGCCCAUGUUUUGGGCCAAGAUUCUUCUUGUAUCAGCCGUGGUUUCUGAAUGGCCUGCCUUGAUGGAACAAGUUGAGAAUCGGAUGUCACCCGCUGCCAGAGGUUCCCGGUAUGAGCUGUGAUCUCUCUGCAGAGUUGAUGGAGGCCUCUGAAAGGCCCUGUCAUUUCCUGAUUCUAUCUGGUUUAUGCCCUUGGUUUGAAGCAAGCUCUUCUCUCAUCUGUCCCCUGAA